This 1332-nucleotide ribosomal RNA is filed under the name uncultured rumen bacterium. RNAcentral's name for it is "bacterial SSU rRNA". It matches the Rfam family "Bacterial small subunit ribosomal RNA", at positions 43 to 1377 of the family's 1533-position model. The record is from RNAcentral.
CAGGCCUAACACAUGCAYGWCGAGGGGCAGCGGGGUAGCAAUACCGCCGGCGACCGGCGCACGGGUGAGUAACGCGUAUGUAACCUAGUUCACAAAGAGGGAUAGCCUUCCGAAAGGGAGAUUAAUACCACAUAUGAUGAUAGCUUCGCAUGGAGUAGUCAUGAAAAAUUUAUUGAUGUGAAAUGGACAUGCGUCUGAUUAGAUAGUAGGCGGGGUAACGGCCCACCUAGUCGACGAUCAGUAGGGGUUCUGAGAGGGAGAUCCCCCACAUUGGUACUGAGACAGGGACCAAACUCCUACGGGAGGCAGCAGUGAGGAAUAUUGGUCAAUGGACGGAAGUCUGAACCAGCCAAGUCGCGUGCAGGAAGACGGCCCUAUGGGUUGUAAACUGCUUUUGUACGAGGGUAAAAGGCGCUAUGUAUAGUGUUUUGAAAGUACCGUACGAAUAAGGAUCGGCUAACUCCGUGCCAGCAGCCGCGGUAAUACGGAGGAUUCGAGCGUUAUCCGGAUUUAUUGGGUUUAAAGGGUGCGCAGGCGGGCUAUUAAGUCAGUGGUGAAAUUUUGAAGCUCAACUUCAAAACUGCCGUUGAUACUGGUGGUCUUGAGAGAUGACGAAGUAGGCGGAAUGUGAUGUGUAGCGGUGAAAUGCUUAGAUAUGUCACAGAACACCGAUUGCGAAGGCAGCUUACUAGGGAUCUUCUGACGCUGAGGCACGAAAGCAUGGGUAUCAAACAGGAUUAGAUACCCUGGUAGUCCAUGCAGUAAACGAUGAGUGCUCGUUAUUUGCUCGUAGGAGUGAGUAACCAAGGGAAACCGAUAAGCACUCCACCUGGGGAGUACGCCGGCAACGGUGAAACUCAAAGGAAUUGACGGGGGCCCGCACAAGCGGAGGAACAUGUGGUUUAAUUCGAUGAUACGCGAGGAACCUUACCCGGGCUUGAAAUGUAGACGAACGAUUCAGAGAUGAAGAGGUCCAGCAAUGGCGUCUAUGUAGGUGCUGCAUGGUUGUCGUCAGCUCGUGCCGUGAGGUGUCGGCUUAAGUGCCAUAACGAGCGCAACCCACGUCUUCAGUUACCAUCAUUCAGUUGGGGACUCUGGAGAGACUGCCGCCGCAAGGUGAGAGGAAGGUGUGGAUGACGUCAAAUCAGCACGGCCCUUACGUCCGGGGCUACACACGUGUUACAAUGGCGUGGACAGCAGGAAGCAAAGCAGCGAUGCAGAGCGGAUCCAUAAACCACGCCAUAGUUCGGACUGGAGUCUGCAACCCGACUCCACGAAGCUGGAUUCGCUAGUAAUCGCGCAUCAGCCAUGGCSCGGYKGGUGCGUUCCCGG